RNAcentral lists this ribosomal RNA (460 nucleotides) under uncultured bacterium. Its description in RNAcentral is "partial 16S ribosomal RNA". It matches the Rfam family "Bacterial small subunit ribosomal RNA", at positions 338 to 795 of the family's 1533-position model. The record is from RNAcentral.
CCUACGGGCGGCAGCAGUGAGGAAUAUUGGUCAAUGGACGAGAGUCUGAACCAGCCAAGUAGCGUGAAGGAUGACUGCCCUAUGGGUUGUAAACUUCUUUUAUAUGGGAAUAAAACGUUCCACGUGUGGGAUUUUGUAUGUACCAUAUGAAUAAGGAUCGGAUAACUCCGUGCCAGCAGCCGCGGUAAUACGGAGGAUCCGAGCGUUAUCCGGAUUUAUUGGGUUUAAAGGGAGCGUAGGUGGAUUGUUAAGUCAGUUGUGAAAGUUUGCGGCUCAACCGUAAAAUUGCAGUUGAAACUGGCAGUCUUGAGUACAGUAGAGGUGGGCGGAAUUCGUGGUGUAGCGGUGAAAUGCUUAGAUAUCACGAAGAACUCCGAUUGCGAAGGCAGUUCACUGGACUGCAACUGACACUGAGGCUCGAAAGUGUGGGUAUCAAACAGGAUUAGAUACCCCUGUAGUC